GUAACAAGGUCUCCGUUGGUGAACCAGCGGAGGGAUCAUUACCGAGUUGAAAAACUCCAACCCCUGUGAACUUUACCUUUUAUGUUGCUUCGGCGGCACAGGCGCCUGCCCGCCUCGGCGGGCCGACCCGACCGCCGCCGGAGGUUCCAAACUCUGAUUUUUUUAGUGUAUCUCUGAGCCUAAAAACAAAUAAUCAAAACUUUCAACAACGGAUCUCUUGGUUCUGGCAUCGAUGAAGAACGCAGCGAAAUGCGAUAAGUAAUGUGAAUUGCAGAAUUCAGUGAAUCAUCGAAUCUUUGAACGCACAUUGCGCCCGCCGGUAUUCCGGCGGGCAUGCCUGUUCGAGCGUCAUUUCACCACUCAAGCCCAGCUUGGUGUUGGGGCACCCGGCCGCCACUCGGCUCGGUCCGGGGCCCCCAAGUACAUCGGCGGUCUCGCCGGGACCCUGAACGCAGUAACUUCGCCCCCAAAAAGGCAAGCUCGUUCGGCGGACUCCCGGAGGGUCACCGGCCGCUAAACCCCCUAAUUAUUCUUUAGGUUGACCUCGGAUCAGGUAGGAAUACCCGCUGAACUUAAGCAUAUCAAUAAGCAGAAGAAA
RNAcentral lists this ribosomal RNA (598 nucleotides) under Neogaeumannomyces bambusicola. RNAcentral's name for it is "eukaryotic LSU rRNA". The stretch from base 198 to 351 matches the Rfam family "5.8S ribosomal RNA". Lineage: Eukaryota; Fungi; Ascomycota; Sordariomycetes; Magnaporthales; Magnaporthaceae. The record is from RNAcentral.